CUGAAGCAAAAAGUCAGUUGUCCAUAUCAGGGCUGUAACUUUAAGAGCAAUAUUUAUUCCACCUUCAAUGCACACAGAAGCAAAGAGCAUAAGCUUGACGGUGAGAUGAUAUUCAAAUCUGAAAUUGUUUCAGAGAAUGUCUCAGAGGAACCUCGGACUAAUAGACCUGAGGACACUGUGACUGUUGAACCCGAGGACAGUGAUUCUGAUGCUGCUGAUACAGCAUUCGGAUUAACAUCUGACGAAAAUGUAGAAGAUUUGGAGAGACAGUUGGAACAUAAUGUAGCUGCUCUGUUCUUGAAGAUGACCUCAAUUUUUAACAUCUCUGAAACUGCCCUGCAAGAUGUUAUAGAGCAGAUAAACCAAAUUCAUUUGCUGUCACAGCCAUUAAUCCAUUCCUCUAUUCAAAGAAUACUACAUCAGUCGGAUGACUAUUUAGUGAACGAGAUAGUUAAGGUAGUAACUGAUAACAAUGCAUUCCUGAAAUGCACUUCUAGUGGAGGAUCAUUAUCAACUACCAGCAAGCGAACAGCAUACAUUUUAAGAGAAUUUCCUGUGGUAAUGCCCAUUGAGUAUAUGCUGAAAAAAGACAAGCACACAUUUUUGUAUGUCCCUAUACUGAAAAUGCUGCAGACAAUUCUAAGCAAUAGGGACAUCUUGGAGAAGGCCAUGUCAUCUGAGUCAAAUGUGACACAGGGUUACAAGUCAUACAAAGAUGGUUUCCGAUUCAAAGACAAUCAUCUCUUGACAGAAGAAGAGUUCAGAAUAGCUCUUUGCUUGUACAUUGAUGACUUUGAGGUUGCUAAUCCCUUGGGAACGUCAAAAAGAAAACACAAACUUUGUGCUGUUUACUGGGUUCUUGGCAAUUUGCACCCUAAAUAUCGCUCGUCUCUUCACUCUAUUCAGCUUGCCCUGCUCUGCAAGGUCAGUCACAUCAAAGAAUACGGCUAUAGUGAAAUUCUUCACCCUCUCAUUCAGGACCUAGUUUCACUGGAGCAACAUGGUGUAUAUGUUGAGCAGUUAGGAUCCAGCAUCAAAGGCACUGUGUUAUUUGUCGCAGCAGACAAUUUAGCUGCCCAUUCUUUAGGAGGGUUCUUUGAAAGCUUCACAGUGAGUCGGAUGUGCAGAUUCUGCAUGGCAAAACGGGAAGAAAUUCAGCUCAAGGAAGUGCGGACAGGCACGUUUCAACCAAGAACUAAAGAAAGUCAUGACAGACAUGUACGUGACGUUUUGGAGGAUUCUACCAUGUCUCAAGAAUAUGGUGUGAAAGGUAAUUGCCCUCUUACUGUAAGCUUGGAACAUUUUCAUGUUGUUGAUGGGUACCCGCCAGAUCUUUUGCAUGAUCUCCUUGAGGGUGUUGUUCCACUUGAAUUAGCCUUGUGUUUGAAGGGUCUCGUAUCAAAAGGAUAUUUCACACUUGAAGUCUUGAAUGCGGCAAUCAAACAAUUUCCAUAUGCAUUUUCAGACAGAACAAAUCAACCACAGCUCAUCACAAAGAACUUUUACUCCAAGCGAACAAUUGGAGGAAAUGGCCAUGAAAAUUGGACACUUCUCCGGCUUUUGCCACUACUAGUUGGUCAUUGCAUUCCUGAGGGGGAUGAAACCUGGGAGGUUUUGAUGAACUUAAAAGAUGUAGUUGAAUUGUCAUUGUCUGCAAGCUUUACAGAGGAAACCAUGUACUUUCUUGACUGCAAGAUUGCAGAACAUAGACAUCUAUUUCAAAAAGUGUUCCCGAAUGAAACAAUAAAGCCAAAGCACCACUACAUUGAGCACUACCCUCAAUUAAUCCAAAAGUUUGGUCCAUUGUCUGCUGUGUGGACAAUGCGUUUUGAAGGAAAACACAAAUUUUUCAAAGAAGUUGUGCGUCAUGCUCACAAUUUCAAGAACAUAGCACUUACUUUGGCUAUGAGGCACCAAAAAAUGAUGUCCUUCCGUUUGUCGUCAGCCUCUUUUUUUAAGGCAUCUGUUGAAAUUGACAAAGUAAAGUCUGUGAUGGUUGAUUCAUUUCCUGAAAAUGUGCAGAAGUAUCUUUUUCACAGGAAUGCUCAGCAGAACACAGUCCUUGUGGCAUCUUCUGCAUGUGUGCAUGGCAUUAAAUACAGUGCUGAUAUGGUCGUUUCUGUUGGAUCUUGCUCCGGACUCCCAGAUUUCAGACAAAUAACAAAGAUUGUGGUGAUCAAUACUGAGAUAUUAUUUGUCUGCAGACUCAUGACCUCAUGGUAUCAUGAGCAUUUUAGAGCCUAUGAGCUCUGUGGCAACCAUUUGUCCACUGUCUCAGUCACUGAGUUGUGUGAGCUGAAUGACCCUUUCCCCCUGUCACUUUACAAAGUGAAAGGAAGACAGCUUAUUACACUUAAGGGGUACAUAUUAUGUUAAGUGACAGUAACUUAAAUGUUUGAAUUUCAUACAUGUCUCUUUUCUCAGGAUCACUUGAAUAUGGACCAAGGAAUGUUGCUCAGAGUUGUCAUCAGUGAUGAUGACAUUAGAAAGUUGAUGUUGAGUAAGAGACCAGAUUCUAUCGAUGACCUGAAAGAUCAGCUGAAGAAUCAACUGUCGCUGCAGUAUGACUUUAAACUACAGUAUGAAGACGAAGACUUCAAUAAUGCCCUCUGCAAUUUAACUGAAAUAGGAGACUUGCCUGAAAAAGCAACACUGAAAAUACUCCCUCUCAUAACUCUUAAUCUAAGAAGUCUUUCAUCACACAACACAUCAUCAGACACGGAGUGCAGCACAGCAGACACUGAGAUCCUGUCAGCUUGUGGGACAUCACAUUCACUAAGAGAACAGUGGCCGGACUUCUUUAAUAUACCCAAUUUCUCAGUAGAUGUUGAGUACAGACUUAGACAGGGAGAUCUUGCCUUCAUGAAAGAUGGGACACGAAUGACUGUAUCAAGAGACAUGAAGCAUGACAUACUUGAAAAAAUUGCUGAGUCAAUGUACACUUUCAAGGCAUAUCCAGAAGAUGAUGACUUCACCAGCGUUGCAAAAGCACUGAUUAGCAAGCACCCCUGCCUUACAGAGCCUGGUCUUCAGCCAGGAUGGUAUGGCUGGAAGAACAGCCUUAAAUUUAAGAUGGCGAACUAUCGCACAAAGCUUCGGAAAGUUGGAUUUGAAGAUGUAACAGUUAAUGGAGGUAAACGAAGUAAAGCCAACCCAGAGGGAGAGUACUCAAGCAAGAAUGUGAAACGACCAAAAAGAGGUGAAGCAAAUUAUCUGCCCAACUUUCCUGAUGGACAUGAUGAAAUAACCCUUGAAAAUGCAAGGAAGGUCAUGGCAGAUGAAAUAAAGAAGAAACUGCCAGAUGCCACUCUCAUCUCACAGUUGAUGGAUCUGACAUUUCCACUACGUAGGCAAGAGAUUGUAAAAGAGGCACCUGCUGUACAGAACAUGGCUGAACGGUGGCCAGGUCUUUUCAAAGAGAGACAGAUAUUUGCUGAGUUCUUUAGAAUUACCAGCAAGAACCUAGAGGGAGACUUCUUUGAGACUUUGGACCAGCUCACCCCACGUUUUAUUGAAAUAUUCAAGUCCAAAAAAGGAACUACUGGGCAGAAACUGACCAAGCUAUUGCAGGACAUCACUGGUUUUACUCAAGAUGUCACUGCACUGCGUUCUGUUGUCCUGAAAGGCAUUCCAAUCAUUCUUGGUGAUGACGCCACUAAAUGUUACAAGACGUGCUUUGAUACCGAGAUCAAUGAGGCCCUGGCAUCAGUUACAGUUGGUGUGCUGAGUGUUCUGAGUGAAGACGAUCCCCCGCAGGGUUCAAGCUCAGUCUAUCUCCCUCCUACCUCCACUGCCAUUGUCAUUGAGGGAAAUCUGGUCAUGGACAACAUUAAAGACUUCCCUCAGGCGGUUUGCCUAUUAUUUGGACUUACCUAUGCUUUACACUUGGAUUACCCAAAGUACAUGGCACAUACACUCACAUUUAUUCAGACAGUAAUGCUUGGUUUGGGAAACAAAACUCUUCCUCCAAAACUGCAAAGCCUCAGAAACAGUCUAAUGAUUUAGAUAACCCAGUAGAUUACUUGUCAGACUAAAGCAAAUAAUCAGCGAGGAGUCAUCAGACAGGAUUUGGCAAUUGUUUUAUUCAUUAUUGUAUUCUUGUGAUAUACUUUGCAAAAUUCAUAGCUAUUUCCUCUAAGGUGAGGUCAGGCUGGCUUUACCAGUACAGUUCAGUUCAAUACUGGUAAAGCACUUGUUCAUAUUCAAACCUUUAGCACGGAAUGCAAAGAAGAUGGCAGCAUUUGUGACCACAAAAGUUGAUUCCUUGCCGUUUUAAAAAGAACAAAAGAAACAAAGGAGGCCAAAAAUAUGUGGCUAGAAAAGACUCAAAUGUUCUCAUGUAUGCUUUUGAAUUGAAGCAAAUCCUGAAUUUUUGUCAACAGUCUAAGGUUUGAUGUCAUUUUUGAUUAUGGUUAAUGGUAA
Molecule: non-coding RNA, 4422 nt
Organism: Oreochromis niloticus (Nile tilapia)
Lineage: Eukaryota; Metazoa; Chordata; Actinopteri; Cichliformes; Cichlidae
Source: RefSeq, a predicted model, not a curated record